ACACGGCGGGUGCUAACGUCCGUCGUGAAGAGGGAAACAACCCAGACCGCCAGCUAAGGUCCCAAAGUCAUGGUUAAGUGGGAAACGGAUGUGGGAAGGCACAGACAGCCAGGAUGUUGGCUUAGAAGCAGCCAUCAUUUAAAGAAAGCGUAAUAGCUCACUGGUCGAGUCGGCCUGCGCGGAAGAUGUAACGGGGCUAAACCAUGCACCGAAGCUGCGGCAGCGACGCUUAUGCGUUGUUGGGUAGGGGAGCGUUCUGUAAGCCGUUGAAGGUGUGCUGUGAGGCAUGCUGGAGGUAUCAGAAGUGCGAAUGCUGACAUAAGUAACGAUAAAGCGGGUGAAAAGCCCGCUCGCCGGAAGACCAAGGGUUCCUGUCCAACGUUAAUCGGGGCAGGGUGAGUCGACCCCUAAGGCGAGGCCGAAAGGCGUAGUCGAUGGGAAACAGGUUAAUAUUCCUGUACUUGGUGUUACUGCGAAGGGGGGG
This 484-nucleotide ribosomal RNA is filed under the name uncultured bacterium. RNAcentral describes it as "bacterial LSU rRNA". It matches the Rfam family "Bacterial large subunit ribosomal RNA", at positions 984 to 1472 of the family's 2925-position model. The record is from RNAcentral.